This 503-nucleotide long non-coding RNA is filed under the name Homo sapiens (human). Its description in RNAcentral is "non-protein coding lnc-ZC3H11B-1:16". Lineage: Eukaryota; Metazoa; Chordata; Mammalia; Primates; Hominidae. The record is from RNAcentral.
GGAAGAUUUGAGAGCUAUUUAGGAGGGAUGGAGUGGGGUGGGAAGAGAGAAAGAAAACAGGAUGUCCUAGUUAUUAAUGCUUUACAGGUGGGAUGAUGGGCAGAACAUGGAAAGAUGGUGUGAGAAGGGGAGAGUCCCACAGGCUGAUGGUGGCAUUCCUGCUCCUGCUCUGAGCUCACCCAGCCCUGUGGCACUCCAACUUCUACUAACUGGUGGGGUCACACUCCCAGUAUUUUCCAGAGAGAAGUACUGAGAAGCUUAAAGUAUUUGAAUGGGAGGAGGAGAAGCAAACUACAGCUACUUCAGAGGAUAACACUAAACACCUAGUCCACUCUGUAUACACUAGAGGUGCUGUUAAUUUUCUUGUGGAGAAGGAACUGUCUUUAGAAAAAUAUCUCAAAAAGCCACUGAAGUAGAAAGUUUCAGCAUGCUGAAGAUGGAACUUGAGAAGAUAGAAAGUUCUGGGUCCUUAGUGGCAUGACUGAGUCGCUGGACCACUGUUG